This 869-nucleotide ribosomal RNA is filed under the name Staphylococcus aureus. RNAcentral describes it as "partial 23S ribosomal RNA". It matches the Rfam family "Bacterial large subunit ribosomal RNA", at positions 575 to 1451 of the family's 2925-position model. The record is from RNAcentral. Lineage: Bacteria; Bacillati; Bacillota; Bacilli; Caryophanales; Staphylococcaceae.
CAGAGCCCGUUAAUGGGUGAUGGCGUGCCUUUUGUAGAAUGAACCGGCGAGUUACGAUUUGAUGCAAGGUUAAGCAGUAAAUGUGGAGCCGUAGCGAAAGCGAGUCUGAAUAGGGCGUUUAGUAUUUGGUCGUAGACCCGAAACCAGGUGAUCUACCCUUGGUCAGGUUGAAGUUCAGGUAACACUGAAUGGAGGACCGAACCGACUUACGUUGAAAAGUGAGCGGAUGAACUGAGGGUAGCGGAGAAAUUCCAAUCGAACCUGGAGAUAGCUGGUUCUCUCCGAAAUAGCUUUAGGGCUAGCCUCAAGUGAUGAUUAUUGGAGGUAGAGCACUGUUUGGACGAGGGGCCCCUCUCGGGUUACCGAAUUCAGACAAACUCCGAAUGCCAAUUAAUUUAACUUGGGAGUCAGAACAUGGGUGAUAAGGUCCGUGUUCGAAAGGGAAACAGCCCAGACCACCAGCUAAGGUCCCAAAAUAUAUGUUAAGUGGAAAAGGAUGUGGCGUUGCCCAGACAACUAGGAUGUUGGCUUAGAAGCAGCCAUCAUUUAAAGAGUGCGUAAUAGCUCACUAGUCGAGUGACACUGCGCCGAAAAUGUACCGGGGCUAAACAUAUUACCGAAGCUGUGGAUUGUCCUUUGGACAAUGGUAGGAGAGCGUUCUAAGGGCGUUGAAGCAUGAUCGUAAGGACAUGUGGAGCGCUUAGAAGUGAGAAUGCCGGUGUGAGUAGCGAAAGACGGGUGAGAAUCCCGUCCACCGAUUGACUAAGGUUUCCAGAGGAAGGCUCGUCCGCUCUGGGUUAGUCGGGUCCUAAGCUGAGGCCGACAGGCGUAGGCGAUGGAUAACAGGUUGAUAUUCCUGUACCACCUAU